GCUAGGCCCACUGUUUGGGACAGCAAACCCAGGGGCAGAACAGCCCAGGGGCCCCCUUAGGAUCUGGACAUGAGCAACUGGCACUGGGUGUGGUGUGGCGUCGCCUGCAGCCCACCAACCUAGCACAUGGAACCUGUCUCACUUUCUGGCCAAGUGACCCAAGGUACGGCCCUGACCCACAUCACAGGGUGGUCCUGAGAAUGAAAUGGCACAACAAAUGGGAACGAUGCUGCAGACCCGGGAGGACUCUGACCCUGCGGGCUUCAGGAAGCAUCUCACCAAACCACCACACAAACGUUUCGCUUAUUGCCCAGGCUGGAGUGUAAUGGCACAAUCUCGGUUCACUGCAACCUCCGCCUCCCGGGUUCAAGCGAUUCUCCUGCCUCAGCCUCCUGAGAAGCUGAGAUUACAGGUUUUUGCUUUUGCCAAUCCCCUCCCUCACAUGCCUUGAAACAAGCACUUUCAAAGACAAAGACAUAAACAACAAAAGGGUGCAGGCUGAGGUGGGUCAUCUUCUCUGCCUGCGUCUCCAACUCUGGAUCCUGCAGUUACUGGACUCAGGCCAUGGCUGACUCCUUCAUCACAGCUAAGAUGCUGCUGGGUUUAAGGCACUGUGACUUUCUGUGCCACUAAGACCGACAAAAAGCUGCCAAGUGAACGAUGACACAAAGAAAGACACAAACUGUGGGACCCAGCCCAACUUCAGAGCUGCUAAAAUGUGAACAAAAAUGCAUCCCGGAAUGGAUGGAAACCGAUCAUUCUAGUUGGUGUGACCUGCUCCAGUGCCUACAGUACGUGUCCUGACAGCGUGGGAGGGGAUAUGAAGGCCCCCCAGUCAAACAGGAGACAGCGUUAGUCUCCAAACUUAACUUUGUUAUCUCUUUCCCUCCUGGGGCCCAAUACCCGCCAGCCAGGACCUGUUUCUCCUCCAUCUCACAUUCUUUCCAGGUUCAGGACUGAAGUCGUCUUGUUCAGCUCCUUGACUUGGCCAUGCUCACUCUACAAUGCAGCCCAUGGAUGGCGCCCCCUCUGCCCAGCACAUCCCUCUGCCUGGGCUCUUGUCUCCCCGAAUCCUGCAAACCCCAGCCCCAGCCUUUAGCGUUCAGCCGCCCUCCCCGCUUCCCUCAUCCUCCCUCGCGUCCUCGCAGUGAGAUUUCAACAUGUCAUCUCAGUUUUUUUGUUCUUUUACUUUCCUGACUACAAGAAAAAUAAAAUAAUC
RNAcentral lists this long non-coding RNA (1219 nucleotides) under Homo sapiens (human). Its description in RNAcentral is "HSALNT0304346". The record is from RNAcentral. Lineage: Eukaryota; Metazoa; Chordata; Mammalia; Primates; Hominidae.